UACGGAGGGUGCAAACGUUGCUCGGAAUUAUUGGGCGUAAAGCGCACGUAGGCGGUCCAGUAAGUCGGAUGUGAAAUCCCUCGGCUCAACCGAGGAAGUGCAUCCGAAACUGCUGGGCUUGAGUACGGAAGAGGGUCUCGGAAUUCCCGGUGUAGAGGUGAAAUUCGUAGAUAUCGGGAGGAACACCAGUGGCGAAGGCGGAGACCUGGGCCGAUACUGACGCUGAGGUGCGAAAGCGUGGGGGGCAAACAGG
RNAcentral lists this ribosomal RNA (253 nucleotides) under uncultured bacterium. RNAcentral's name for it is "partial 16S ribosomal RNA". It matches the Rfam family "Bacterial small subunit ribosomal RNA", at positions 524 to 776 of the family's 1533-position model. The record is from RNAcentral.